UGACGCCAGCUGAGAUCGUUGAUUUUUUUUUUUUUUUUUUGAAAUUGCGUUCGUUUUUGUUCUUUGAUGAACAGCUGGACUGUACGUACAAGAACACGUUUUGUGUGUUGUUAUUCGAAAAUAAUGGACGAGAACAAGUUGUUGGAGCAAAAGAAGAGUUUGGAGGAUAAGCUCAGGAAAUUGUGUCCGAAAACUGAAAGUGAAUACAAGACGGAAGUUAUGAAAUUACUGGAAGAGUACAACGCUGUAAAGGAUGCGGUCCAGACGUUGAUCGGUGGAUUGGCAACAAUUGAAAAUGGUACAGUGAAGGAAAUCCACGAACGACUGAAUUUGCAUUCGGAAGAUUAAAUUUCUUUAAAUGGUAACUCGUUGUGAUUUUGUAGAAAUAAAUUCGAUGGUUGAUUGAGGAACAACCUGCUUAA
Molecule: long non-coding RNA, 422 nt
Organism: Bradysia coprophila
Lineage: Eukaryota; Metazoa; Arthropoda; Insecta; Diptera; Sciaridae
Source: RefSeq, a predicted model, not a curated record